This 250-nucleotide long non-coding RNA is filed under the name Mytilus galloprovincialis (Mediterranean mussel). Lineage: Eukaryota; Metazoa; Mollusca; Bivalvia; Mytilida; Mytilidae. The record is from RNAcentral.
UUUUGUGAUACCCUCCGAAAAAAAAAUUGCAGUUUUGUGUCCAUCUGUCUGUUCAUGCAUCCGUCCCCCAGUGGUUUUCAGAGAAAAUAACUUUACAAAAGAUGAAUGAUUUAUUUUGAAACUCUGUAUAAAUGUUAAGUACAAUAAAUAGCAAUCAAAGUUAAAUUUUAAGCUUGAUCAAGUUAUGUCAUAUUUUUACUUUUUGCCACCCCCCCCCUUUUUCAACCAAUACAUCAUGUACAUGGCAGGG